UUUAUAAAUUGCUUGGCUGGGCUGAUGAGCCAGUGGAUUGUGCAGUCAGAUGGAACAGAGUAAAUAGGCAUUUUUAACUUUAUAGAUUAGCCAGUGGUAAAUUGUGGAAUAGACAGCAUCUGAAAUGCGGAUUUAACCAAUCUGCAUUCAGGAUUAGACCCACCCGUAGCUAGAGAAUAGUUGGAAAUUAACGAUACAUGACUGUAAUCCAUUUAUUUUUCCUAGAUUACUACUCCUGCUGCAAAGUUUCAGUGCAUAUGCAGAGCAGUUGAAGUUUGGACAGAAAGAAAACAUGAAGCAAACAGCUCCAUGUGUAUCAAUUGGCCUUGUAGUUGGACACUAUUGGAAUAACUUUAUCCAGAUUGGCAACCAGAAGCAUGAAGCAAGAUAUUCAAGAAUUGAUCAAAACUCCAAAGUGUGAGGAAAACACCACUUUCUCUUUAGCAUCCUCACUCCUGACCACAAAAAGGGAUAUUUGUCCACAGUCUCCAUCCGUAGUGUCUCAGCACUGUACUUCAAGAACAACAGCAAGCACUCCAUUCCUCCACAGAUAAUAGCAAAUGGCGGCCCCUCCUGUCCUACUCGCAGAACAGCAAGCAUCAUCCCCUCCUGCCUUUCCCCUAUAUCCACAGACACUCAUAAUGUAAGUUGCCAGACAGUAGAGUCCUCCCUUGUCCCCUGUGAUGCCUGUGCUCAGGUCCAGUCCAGCCUGAGGGAGACUGGUGAUGCUCUUGUGGAGCUGUGUCGGAGCGAGGGCCUUCCCACCUCUGCAGCGCCUCCUGGUGGCUGCGGAUGACACUAUGUAGCAGGGCCGUCUGACUGUAGGAGAUGUGUCUCAGUGGUCCACAGAGCAGCACAGGGACAUGGGUCAGGUGGGAAAGCAUCUGCUGAAGGUGCAGUCCACAGUGCAGGGCUCAGCUGGGGGAGGGAACAGGAGGAACUAAAGCGUGAAUGGGCAAAGGAUCAAGCAAGCCUCUCCCAGGCAUCCAGGAAGGAGACAGAGAGGAGACUGCAGGACGAACAUGAGGAGCUGAGGCUCCAUGUCCCUGGAGGAUAGCAACUCCAAACUGAAGGCAGAGAUUAGUUUGCAACAAGAAAGGUUACACAAACUCGAGUGUGAGAGAGAUAAGCUACAUCAGGAAGUGAAGGCCUUGCAGGUAGAGGAAGAGGCACGGAAUAAACAAGAGGAGAAGACACAAACACUGGAGGCUCAACUGUCCAGUACUCAGCUCUUACUUGACAAAGAGAACUCCAAGUACCAGAAUGCAUGUCACCAACAGGAGUCACUGCAGGCCAAGCAGAUGUCUCUAUUGGAGAGAGUGGAUGCUCUGGACCAGGAGUGUGAGGAGCUUCAAGGACAAUUGGGGGAGACUGAGGACACACAGACAGACCUACAGGAUAGACUGACACACAUCUCAGAGGAGAAGGACCAACUUAAAACCCAGCUCACCCAAGAACAGUCCCUGAGGCCUUGUGUUCUGAGCUGCAGCAGGAGAAGCAGAGAUUGGAGAGUCAUGUGAGCAAGCUGAAAGACAGUUUGGAUCAGCUGAGAGGAGAGGUGCAGGAGUUAGCACAGAGGGAGAGGCUGCUGGUGUCAUUCCCAGAGCUCAACCCACUGCCUCAGGGACCGCCACAGACUUUGGAUUCUCCCAGUCUGCCUGACGCUCCCAGAGAGAGACAGCUAAAUCCCACCCCCUACGUACAACACAGCCCUCUACAGACCUCCAGUGCAGGAGUGUUGAAACAUUGAUUGCGGAGGAAGGGAGCAGACAAAGGGGAUUCCAUCCCUGUGGUGAUGGGGCCUUGGGAUCACAUCUCUACCACCUUCUCUACAGCUCUGGUGCACCAGCGGACUCUACGGCUCUCCCCAGACACCAGCCAGAGCCUAAGCAAAGAUACGCCAGGCGUCCCAAACAUGCUCUGUUGGCAAUCUCCAGAGGAAGAAAUAAAUCCAGCACUGGGUGAUCAACCUAAUGUUGACCAUUUUUGGAGCAUAGUAAUGCCGAAAGAGGCUGAGGCAGAAAGAGGCUGUUAGAAGUAUAUGUCAGGCUUCUCCAUCAGGAGACUGCAGUAAGGCAUUGCAUUGUAGCUCAUACACAGUUGUUUGUGUAUCAGCUGAGGCAGAUGCAGAAAAGUUAUAGAGUUCAGGAUCUUGGCAACAUUGAGCUGGCUUGAAGUUGCUAUUUAACUGAAAAUGAAUUUGAUUAAUUCAAACUGUGGUAUCAUGUUUUUUCUUUCUUGAACUGUUGUGUUAAUCACUUUGCUACUUUGGAUUGCAAAUGUGCAUUUGUUGACUUCAUGCAUUUAGCAAAACAGUUUUAUCUAGUUUAGAAUGGUAAAGCAAUAAGACUGAGCAUAACGAGCCUAUCAAAGCACAUUCAUUAUUUAAGCUCAUAAAGAAUCUGGUCAUGCACAAACACACACUAAAAAUAAGUGUUACAAUGAUCAGUCUAGAAAAGGGAGUGGCUAGGUAAAAGACAAGCCAUGGUGUGUGUCUGUGUGUUUAGCAAAGGCUCUACUAUUGUGUCACCAACACAAUGCCACGAAUGCAGAUGUGUCUAAUGAUUUACAGAGUACUCUGACGAGGGAGGGGUAAGUUCCUAUGGCAACAUUGAUGAUCAGAGCAUGACAUCUUGUGUGGGUUCCCUCCUGUCCUUACUGUCAGUCCAACCCUUCACCUAUUGAGGAGUAUACUUGAUGGUAGACCAACCAAUUCAUUGUGAAGUAUGCUUCCCAUGGCAUGUUGGGGUGCAAUAUUUUUGUCCUUUGUAUUUCCUUGCACUAGAAAUACCAAAUUACUUUUCUGAAGGUGGGUAGUAGUCAUGGCGAUACCUGUGAAAAGCCCCAUAGAUCCAGACUGGAUACUGACUACACCUGAAACUAUGCAAUUCAAGCCCAUAUUAUUGUUCAUGCCUGUUAAAUGUUUCUGCAUGAGUUCAGUGGUAGCACAAUACUGGGUUUCAUUUUCAGGGAUAUACCUAGAUACUGAAGUAUUUGCGGAAUGCAGAUGUACUAAAGAAAUCAAUAAUUUCUUAGCCCACUAACUCACGAAUCCUUCUCCUCAGAGACAAACUUGCUUGAUCAAGUCUAACCUUGGACCUCAGAGUUCAGUCUUUCAGUUGAGCCAAUUAUACAGCUGUGUCAUCCCUCAAGCAUGUAAUUGAGAUGUGUCCUCCCCCGAUAGACAAUACAUUCAUUAUCUAUCGCAUGCUUGUCUCAUGAUUGACAGACUGAUUUAGCCUAAUUGUUAAAUUGUUGCAUGGAGUAUAAAAACAAAAUAUGUCAGACACAGUAUUUAUCUGAACAUGUAAAAUGGAGCAUUGUAUAAUCAAUUUAGUUAUUUUAAUAGUAUGCUACCCUGUAAAAAUAACAUUCAGAAUGCUGCUUCAAAACAUUUAUUUGUCACAAAAUAACAACUUAUUUUAGACUAUACAACAAAAAGACAUAUGGAUGUGAAAGUAUAGAGUACAUAGGUACAGUCAGACCUCAUAUCGCACUGUGCUUACUGAUACACAAAAGACAAAGACCGUAACUCAGAGGUGAGGAAAUGUUCAGCUUGCCAAAAGCACCAGUGUCAACACCUGCAACUUGCCCCCACAGGAAAAAGAGAGACACGGUGGAAGAAGGACAUACAGUCAUUUGCAGUUAGAAACUUAAACAAUGUGCAAAGUUGUACAAAAAUCCAUUGAAUAUUUUUGGUAUCCCCGCAUCCAAUAACAUUAGAUUAUUUCAAAGGUUAUAUCUGUUGUUCAAAUCAAUUGAAUGUUAUAUAGUCAUUUACGAUAUAAUAUCCUAUGAGUAAAUACUGAGAUUAUAACAGGGAAAACUACUUGGAUAGAGGAAAAAAAAAUACCUGAACAACUGAAUUUAGAUUUCACGUAAGCUUUGGGAAUCAUUCCUUAUUCAUGAAAACAUAUUUAAGGCCAUUGGUUACUUGUGUCAUAUAUUUAUAUUUAUAUUAUAAUAACUAAUAAAUAGUGAUAAAUAAGAGACAAAACAACAUAUUUCUGAGUACAACACUAAGUUGAGCUACAGACACUUCUGAGGCUGGUAGCCAGUAGUCAGGGAAUCAUGCUCAUUCUUCAUCAUUCUAAGGGCUGUGAUAUAUAGAAACUGCUAAUAACAUUAAGGCAAUGUUUUAGUAACAUUAUUAAAACACAGAUAAAAUGGUAGAUGUUUUACCACAAUCUCCAAACGUGACAACCAUGCAAAUCUACACCUAAUAGGUAACAAAAUAACCCCUUGUCAGGACUCGACUGAAAACUUCAGCCAUUGGAAUGCUAUGAUUAUCACCUUAAGACAUUGUUACAUCUUAGACACAGACAGGAAAGGGAGUAACUGUUGGUGAGAGUGCUGUCUCUCCGAGACAUUCAGUGUAAUUCAGCACUGUGUGAUCUCACAUAUGUGUUUUAUCAUCUAGGUCAAGCUAUUAGGCAGCUGCAGGGACCGCUGCAAAUCUGUCAGAUUACAGAGGCCUCAUGAGGAUGAGGGAUGUCCUAUGGCUGGCAUAACUCCCAAUCUCUGUUUGCCAAUAUGCUUUUAAGCAGCAGCACCACCACCACCAAAUACCCUGUUCUGGUACAUCAUGCACUGGGUUUGUACUUGCCUUACAAAAAGCAUGUAUUAAAUCAUAUGCCCAUAAAAUUGUCAGAGACUCCAGUCACCCAAGUCUUAGACUGUUCCCUCUGCUACCUCACGACAAGCGGUACCAGAACGGCAAGUUUAGGUCCAAAAGGCCCCU
Molecule: non-coding RNA, 4741 nt
Organism: Oncorhynchus mykiss (rainbow trout)
Lineage: Eukaryota; Metazoa; Chordata; Actinopteri; Salmoniformes; Salmonidae
Source: RefSeq, a predicted model, not a curated record